GGUCCUUCCCUGCACCCGGGGCUGGGCUGGUGCUCCCUGAGGCGGGGCUGCCUCUCGGAGGCUAGCAGAGUCCGCCUUGGCCAGAGCUCUGCGCCACCCAUUGCCGAGCGAGAAGGCACGCGUGCGGGCUGCCAGAUGUCAGUUCUGUAAUGAAACUCGCGUCCAAAGCCCCGCUGAUGACAAAAUAAAGCAGGCUGCGGCAGGCACGGGAAAUGCCGGGAAGCAUUCCACGGAGGCUGAGCUCCGGAGUCGUGACUGAGAUGCCCACACAUGUGCACACACGCACACAGGCACUCACACACGCAUGUGCAUUCACACAUGUCAUAGAGGCUCGGGAACCACGCUGGCCUCGGAGGCUGACUAACCUGCAACGGAUGCAGAGGCACAGAGAACUGUGAAUGCUUUAGGGAUUGUCAUGUGGGAGAGAAAUUCGCGUUAAGGUG
Long non-coding RNA from Pipistrellus kuhlii (Kuhl's pipistrelle), 443 nucleotides. RefSeq lists it as uncharacterized. The transcript is spliced from 4 exons. Lineage: Eukaryota; Metazoa; Chordata; Mammalia; Chiroptera; Vespertilionidae. The record is from RefSeq and is a predicted model, not a curated record.